This 394-nucleotide ribosomal RNA is filed under the name uncultured Anaeromyxobacter sp. RNAcentral's name for it is "bacterial SSU rRNA". It matches the Rfam family "Bacterial small subunit ribosomal RNA", at positions 67 to 447 of the family's 1533-position model. Lineage: Bacteria; Pseudomonadati; Myxococcota; Myxococcia; Myxococcales; Anaeromyxobacteraceae. The record is from RNAcentral.
CGAGAAAGCCCGCAAGGGUGAGUAAAGCGGCGCACGGGUGCGUAACACGUGGGUAAUCUGCCCUAGAGUCUGGAAUAACUCGCCGAAAGGCGUGCUAAUGCCGGAUGAGACCACGGGAGCCUCGGCUCCUGCGGGAAAAGGUGGCCCCUGUAUACAAGCUAUCGCUCUAGGAUGAGCCCGCGGCCCAUCAGCUAGUUGGCGGGGUAAUGGCCCACCAAGGCUACGACGGGUAGCUGGUCUGAGAGGACGAUCAGCCACACUGGAACUGAGACACGGUCCAGACUCCUACGGGAGGCAGCAGUGGGGAAUCUUGCGCAAUGGGCGAAAGCCUGACGCAGCAACGCCGCGUGUGUGAUGAAGGUCUUCGGAUCGUAAAGCACUGUCGCGAGGGACG